RNAcentral lists this ribosomal RNA (253 nucleotides) under uncultured bacterium. RNAcentral's name for it is "partial 16S ribosomal RNA". It matches the Rfam family "Bacterial small subunit ribosomal RNA", at positions 524 to 776 of the family's 1533-position model. The record is from RNAcentral.
UACGGGGGGGGUAAGCGUUGUUCGGAAUUACUGAGCGUAAAGGGCUCGUAGGCGGCCAACUAAGUCAGACGUGAAAUCCCUCAGCUUAACUGGGGAACUGCGUCUGAUACUGGAUGGCUUGGAUUUGGGAGAGGAAUGCGGAAUUCCAGGUGUAGCGGUGAAAUGCGUAGAUAUCUGGAGGAACACCGGUGGCGAAGGCGGCAUUCUGGACCAAUAUUGACGCUGAGGAGCGAAAGCCAGGGGAGCAAACGGG